AUGAACGCUGGCGGCGUGCUUAACACAUGCAAGUCGAGCGAGAAAGUUCCUUCGGGAAUUAGUAAAGCGGCAGACGGGUGAGUAAUACAUGGGAAUCUGCCUUUAAGUGAAGGAUACCUUUGAGAAAUCAAAGUUAAUACUGCAUAUCUCCUCCGGGAGAAAGAUGGCUUUUAUGCUGUCGCUUAGAGAUGAGCCCAUGCGCUAUUAGCUUGUUGGUGAGGUAAAGGCUUACCAAGGCGAUGAUGGCUAGCCGGCCUGAGAGGGUGAACGGCCACACUGGAACUGAGACACGGUCCAGACUCCUACGGGAGGCAGCAGUGAGGAAUAUUGCACAAUGGGCGAAAGCCUGAUGCAGCGACGCCGCGUGGAGGAUGAAGGUUUUCGGAUCGUAAACUCCUGUUAAGUGAAAAGAAAGAACUACUUUUAAUAGAAGUAGGUGAUGACGUUAUCACUAGAGAAAGCACCGGCUAACUUCGU
This 477-nucleotide ribosomal RNA is filed under the name uncultured bacterium. RNAcentral's name for it is "bacterial SSU rRNA". It matches the Rfam family "Bacterial small subunit ribosomal RNA", at positions 29 to 506 of the family's 1533-position model. The record is from RNAcentral.